CAUGCAAGUCGUGCGAGACGAUGAACGCGCGAGCUUGCUCCACGGAUGUUAGCGGCGGACGGGUGAGUAACACGUGGGUAACCUGCCUGUAAGACUGGGAUAACUCCGGGAAACCGGAGCUAAUACCGGAUAGUUCCUUGAACCGCAUGGUUCAAGGAUGAAAGACGGUUUCGGCUGUCACUUACAGAUGGACCCGCGGCGCAUUAGCUAGUUGGUGGGGUUAAUGGCUCACCAAGGCACGAUGCGUAGCCGACCUGAGAGGGUGAUCGGCCACACUGGGACUGAGACACGGCCCAGACUCCUACGGGAGGCAGCAGUAGGGAAUCUUCCGCAAUGGACGAAAGUCUGACGGAGCAACGCCGCGUGAGUGAUGAAGGUUUUCGGAUCGUAAAGCUCUGUUGUUAGGGAAGAACAAGUGCGAGAGUAACUGGUCGCACCUUGACGGUACCUAACCAGAAAGCCACGGCUAACUACGUGCCAGCAGCCGCGGUAAUACGUAGGUGGCAAGCGUUGUCCGGAAUUAUUGGGCGUAAAGGGCUCGCAGGCGGUUUCUUAAGUCUGAUGUGAAAAGCCCCCGGCUCAACCGGGGAGGGUCAUUGGAAACUGGGAAACUUGAGUGCAGAAGAGGAGAGUGGAAAUUCCACAUGUAGCGUGAAAUGCGUAGAGAUGUGCGACGACCACCACUGGGACAAGGCGACUCUCUGGUCUGUAACUGAACCUGAACAGCGAAAUCGUCGGGACGCACCACGAUAAGUAUGCCUGGUAGUCCA
Molecule: ribosomal RNA, 770 nt
Filed under: Bacillus sp. (in: firmicutes)
Lineage: Bacteria; Bacillati; Bacillota; Bacilli; Caryophanales; Bacillaceae
Description: bacterial SSU rRNA
Rfam family: Bacterial small subunit ribosomal RNA
Source: RNAcentral